GGAAUUGUCAAGGAAGCAGAGCAUAUUAGGUGGACCUGUAAAGUGGGAAGUAUGUCUAGAAUGUAUUACAAUUUGCCAGUAUUAUCUGAAAAGUUUCCUGAACUACCUCAAGUGUAUUUUUCGGAAAAAUUAUCUUUAGGAUAUUCUGAAGAUGAAAAAGAGAUAAAGGACAUUGAGUGGUCUGCUGGUGUGAGCAUAGUUAAUAAUAAUUCACUCUU
This is a long non-coding RNA of Sitophilus oryzae (rice weevil), 218 nucleotides long. RefSeq lists it as uncharacterized. The transcript is spliced from 3 exons. NCBI's taxonomy places the organism in Eukaryota, Metazoa, Arthropoda, Insecta, Coleoptera, Curculionidae. The record is from RefSeq and is a predicted model, not a curated record.